GACGAACGCUGGCGGCGUGCUUAACACAUGCAAGUCGAACGAAGGGCGAUGGAAGCUUCCUUCUAUCAAUUUUAGUGGCGAACGGGUGAGUAACGCGUAAUAAACCUGCCCUUCAGAGGGGGACAACAGUUGGAAAGGACUGCUAAUACCGCAUACGAUCUAAUCUCGGCAUCGAGGAGAGAUGAAAGGUGGCCUCGAUUUAUAAGCUAUCACUGACGGAGGGGAUUGCGUCUGAUUAGCUAGUUGGUGGGGUAAGGGCCCACCAAGGCGAUGAUCAGUAGCCGGUCUGAGAGGAUGAACGGCCACAUUGGGACCGAGACACGGCCCAGACUCCUACGGGAGGCAGCAGUGGGGAAUCUUCCGGAAUGGACGAAAGUCUGACGGAGCAACGCCGCGUGAGUGAUGACGGCCUUCGGGUUGUAAAGCUCCGUUAAUCGGGACGAAAGGCCUUCUUGCGAACAGUUAGAAGGAUUGACGGUACCGGAAUAGAAAGCCACGGCUAACUACGUG
Molecule: ribosomal RNA, 510 nt
Filed under: uncultured bacterium
Lineage: Bacteria
Description: partial 16S ribosomal RNA
Rfam family: Bacterial small subunit ribosomal RNA
Source: RNAcentral